GGUCCCGUAGCUCAGUUGGUUAGAGUGUUGGUCUUAUGAGCCGAAGGUCGCGAGUUCGAGCCUCGCCGGGACCA
This is a non-coding RNA of Cicer arietinum (chickpea), 74 nucleotides long. The record is from Rfam. NCBI's taxonomy places the organism in Eukaryota, Viridiplantae, Streptophyta, Magnoliopsida, Fabales, Fabaceae.